GCUACUCUCUCUCCAAGCCCCAGAAGCCAAGUGAAGCUAAUCUACUGCUCGUGCACUGUGCACGAGAUGGAACAAUCCGUUGCCGAGCUUAAGCUGUUGCACAAUUACCAAAUUAAGCAUUUGGGAUCCGAUGCGAGGAUUUGGGAUAUUGGAUUGUCGUCCAGGAAGAAACUCUGCGUGAAUGGACUGUUUUGGCGGCGCAGUAUCGGGAUUCGGUGAACGCCGCUUGUAGGAAGCUGACGGCGAGUUGGGUUUGGGCUAUGGCCACAGAGAAUCCGAAUGUACCGUCUUGUGAGUUUUUUGAGAACCACGAGAAGGCGGCUUCUGCAGCAGUGUUGCCGCCUGGAGUU
Molecule: unclassified non-coding RNA, 350 nt
Filed under: Hevea brasiliensis (rubber tree)
Lineage: Eukaryota; Viridiplantae; Streptophyta; Magnoliopsida; Malpighiales; Euphorbiaceae
Source: RNAcentral